Molecule: long non-coding RNA, 1444 nt
Filed under: Equus caballus (horse)
Lineage: Eukaryota; Metazoa; Chordata; Mammalia; Perissodactyla; Equidae
Description: lncRNA (ENSECAG00000041301.2)
Source: RNAcentral
CACCAUUAGCAUACAUUAUUAUGACGUCUUUGGCUACUAAGUAAAUGGAGAACUUCUGAGCCUCUCCAACCAAGUGCAGAUGGGGAUCCACCACCUGUGUCCUGUAGUGCACUCUCACCAGUCCUAACCAGCAGGAGGGAGGGGGAAAGAACAAGAAGAAAGAGGUCAUCAGAUCAGAAGCAGGGAGGCCACCCUCCCACUGAUCAGCUAUGUGAUCCUGGGGUUUUAUCCCAACUUGGGACAAAACUGGCCUCUGCCAUUUAUGAUCUUUGGAGUCUGAAAAAUGUUACAGCCUCUCUAAGCCUUGGUUUGCACAUCUCUGCAAGUGAAGAUAGCAUCACCAUCUCCAGCGUUGGUUGUGAAAUCAAGAGCAGAAUGUAGAAUGCCGAGCACACAUCCUCCGGAGAGGGAUGGAAAUUGGAGCAGCGUUGGCUCUGCCACAUUCUCGCUGAACCUCAGCCGCCUCCACAGAAGACAAAAGCAGAAUUUCCACACUCCAGGCUGUGUCUCAGAGACCAUUUAGAACUUAUCUCAUGCUGCCCUCAGUCUUAGUACCAAUCUGUCUAUGUUCAGCAGGAUAACUCAUCUGAGUGUGAGGACCUCUAGAGAAAAUAAAAUGACAGUUCGUCUCUCUCACAUACACACACAAAGCCCCUAUCUUAUACCAUAGACUUCAAAACCCAGAUCUGUAGUGUGGAAACUUCUUCCUCUUACUAAAGACAAGAGAAUUUGAGACAAAGUUUCGCCAUCAUGAGAACAUUAACUGAAAAGCAAUUAUCCAAAUCAGUGGCUCUGGAGAAAGGCAUACAGAAUUAAUUAGAAUCUCCUCUUCAAGUUAAAGAGACAGAGAGCCGCCCCCGGAGCUGUAGGAGCGUGGGCUCUGGGCUCAGUGGCCCCGUCUCUAAUCCCAGGCUCACGUUCACUAGCGGUGAGGGAUCGACCAAGUUGCUUAACCUCUUUCCCUCAGUUUCCCCAAAGUGGGAUGAAAUAGUGUAUAAGAAAAGUGAGUUACUAUACAUCACACACUCGGAACAUCCUGUGGUGAGUAGCAAGCUGUGAGUGUGAGUUGCUAUUGUCACCUUGAUCGUAACAGCACAGGUAUCUCAAAAUACUGGAACAACGAGGACUCACAGUGAGUCGAGACAGGUGUGAACAACUUGCCCUGCUGCCGGGACACGCCCUUAGGGGAGGAACAGAAUCACAUAGCUCUAUCUGGGGGGACCUGCCAAGAUUCAGGCCACACUGCACAUAUAUUGUCUGAACCAACAUCACAACCAACCUGUCAGGCAGGCAGUGUCCUCCCAUUAUCACCCAUCAAAUGAGUUAAGUAAUUGGCCCAAAACCACAUCGCUAGUAAAUGCUGGAGAGGGGAUUCAGACGCAAGUCCUCAUAGAAGCUAAAUGGAAAGGCUUAAUGAUUACUCCACAGUGAGGAUGAAUGCUUG